AUUAACAUAAUAUUGCAACCUGCUGUCGAUGGGUGGGAUUCUGCAUAUUUAAAUACAUGCCAGAUAUGGGACUUCAACUUUAAGCUCUAGAGCCCAUGUAACUUGUGCUUGCAACUUCAAGGCUGAUGAGUCUCCGUUCAUAUGUCCCCAGGGCACAUAAUUCCAGCAUCUCAGACCUUCUGGAAUUUAAGAGCUUCAUAUAUUCAUCUCCCGCUGAAACACUUGAUUUAAGAAAUCAUACACUGUAUGGAAUGUUGAGCUGUGUGAUUUGAUCUUAUCAACGACUGUAAUUGACAGGCAACACUGAAGGUAGAAUGGAUGUGUCUUGCUCAGUCAGAUUUAGAGGAGUUAAGUCUGUAAAAGUAUUGUUCCCGUGAAUGACUGCAAUGUGUGUGGUCAUCGUAUAGAAAUUGUUUGUAUUUACUGCUCACUGACUUCACACAAAAUAUAUUUUUGUAUGUAUGCAUUUAUGCAGGAAAUGUUAAGCAUGAACAUAUAUUUGGAAUUAUUAUGAGAAACUGAUUUGAAAACACACGAGUGUUAUACUGGCACAGAGUGACAGUAUAAAUGCUUGCAAAUAAUCUUUACAUCCAACAACCAACAGUCUGGAUAGCCACAGAAAUUUUACUAGCAUGUCAGUUUGCAUUAGAGAUUAAUUGUUAAUGUUAAAUUUUGUUGAAUUGAAUAUUAAUUUUAUCAACAUUUAAGUCAUUGCUUGUACUGUUUCUGAGCCACACAUAACACUUUAACAAAGACACUGUUGAAUCAUGUACAUCUGCACUAAUAUAAAUAACAUAAUUUGACACGUAAGACAAUAUUAUUGUGAAUCCAAGGGAAUUUACAUGUUUUUCUGAUGUAACUCUUACUAUAGCAGGGACAAUAAAGGGCAUGCUAUGUCUCCUUUGUGUAAAAAGCCUCACCUGACUUCAUGAACAGAGGGC
Long non-coding RNA from Cyprinus carpio carpio, 941 nucleotides. Lineage: Eukaryota; Metazoa; Chordata; Actinopteri; Cypriniformes; Cyprinidae. The record is from Ensembl.